This 260-nucleotide ribosomal RNA is filed under the name Salmonella enterica. RNAcentral describes it as "partial 16S ribosomal RNA". It matches the Rfam family "Bacterial small subunit ribosomal RNA", at positions 1284 to 1533 of the family's 1533-position model. The record is from RNAcentral. RNAcentral also lists the same sequence under 3 other names. Lineage: Bacteria; Pseudomonadati; Pseudomonadota; Gammaproteobacteria; Enterobacterales; Enterobacteriaceae.
CGUCGUAGUCCGGAUUGGAGUCUGCAACUCGACUCCAUGAAGUCGGAAUCGCUAGUAAUCGUGGAUCAGAAUGCCACGGUGAAUACGUUCCCGGGCCUUGUACACACCGCCCGUCACACCAUGGGAGUGGGUUGCAAAAGAAGUAGGUAGCUUAACCUUCGGGAGGGCGCUUACCACUUUGUGAUUCAUGACUGGGGUGAAGUCGUAACAAGGUAACCGUAGGGGAACCUGCGGUUGGAUCACCUCCUUACCUUAAAGAA